Molecule: ribosomal RNA, 470 nt
Filed under: uncultured bacterium
Lineage: Bacteria
Description: bacterial SSU rRNA
Rfam family: Bacterial small subunit ribosomal RNA
Source: RNAcentral
GAUGAACGCUAGCUACAGGCUUAACACAUGCAAGUCGAGGGGAAACGAUAGAGAGAGCUUGCUUUUUUCUUAGGCGUCGACCGGCGCACGGGUGAGUAACGCGUAUCCAACCUGCCCACCACUUGGGGAUAACCUUGCGAAAGUAAGACUAAUACCCAAUGACGUCUCUAGAAGGCAUCUGAAAGGGAUUAAAGAUUUAUCGGUGAUGGAUGGGGAUGCGUCUGAUUAGCUUGUUGGCGGGGUAACGGCCCACCAAGGCAACGAUCAGUAGGGGUUCUGAGAGGAAGGUCCCCCACAUUGGAACUGAGACACGGUCCAAACUCCUACGGGAGGCAGCAGUGAGGAAUAUUGGUCAAUGGGCGAGAGCCUGAACCAGCCAAAGUAGCGUGCAGGAUGACGGCCCUAAUGGGUUGUAAACUUCUUUUAAUAUGGGAAUAAAGUGAGGAACGUGUUCCUUUUUUGUAUGUACC